Molecule: long non-coding RNA, 443 nt
Organism: Oreochromis aureus
Lineage: Eukaryota; Metazoa; Chordata; Actinopteri; Cichliformes; Cichlidae
Source: Ensembl
CUCACCCGCUUUUAAGUGUCCGUCACAGCAGGCGUGGAAACCUGGAGGUUCCCUCCAGAUUUCACGACGCUUUCUUUCCACUCUACUUAUGUUUCAGGUCUUGGAUCUGUUCCUGGGCUCCUGCACUCUGAUAUCCAUCUCACCCGCUUGUAAGCAUCCGUCACAACCCGGCUACAACAGCAGAAGACUACAUCAGGUCCCAGUCCUGUCAACUAAGACAGCACAGGCCUACCAAAAUUGGAAAUUAGAAGACUGGAAAAACAAUAUGAGCAACAUUCAGAAGAAAGUGAACCACAACAUGUGGCAACAGAGCCCACAAACAUGAGCUCAUUCCUCUUGAGGGAAACUAGCAACUGAAAAAAACAGAGAUAGAAAGAGAGAAAGUCCCAGUGUUCCUCUCCACAUCCAUUUGUCUUUGGACUACAUUCCUGCUCCUCUUCCUC